CCCAUGGGUACAUGAAGGACUGAAAGUGGAAAAGGAAAACGGAAGUGCAAAGAUAAAGUUAGAGAACUGUGGUGGCAUGCUGGAGUAAAUAACGAGCGACCAGCCAAUGAAAAUAGUUAGAGACACCUCCGAACAAAUAGCGACUUAAAAUCUCAUUGUUGCCAAGGGUGGUUGAGACGUAGAUUGAGGUGUUCGCAUACUCCCAUCUUUUGGGCAGGUACUUUGACAUUGAGUAGUCAUAUCUCCUAUCCAGAGUCACUCCGCUGACGGUCAAGGUCUAAUCAUGUGUAUAUGAAUACUUGGUGUGAAAUAUUAAGAAUC
Non-coding RNA from Theobroma cacao (cacao), 321 nucleotides. Lineage: Eukaryota; Viridiplantae; Streptophyta; Magnoliopsida; Malvales; Malvaceae. The record is from RefSeq and is a predicted model, not a curated record.